UGGGGAAUAUUGGACAAUGGGCGCAAGCCUGAUCCAGCCAUGCCGCGUGUGUGAAGAAGGCCUUUUGGUUGUAAAGCACUUUAAGCGAGGAGGAGGCUACUCUAGUUAAUACUUAGGGAUAGUGGACGUUACUCGCAGAAUAAGCACCGGCUACUC
Molecule: ribosomal RNA, 156 nt
Filed under: uncultured gamma proteobacterium AL20b12
Lineage: Bacteria; Pseudomonadati; Pseudomonadota; Gammaproteobacteria
Description: partial 16S ribosomal RNA
Rfam family: Bacterial small subunit ribosomal RNA
Source: RNAcentral